This 254-nucleotide ribosomal RNA is filed under the name uncultured bacterium. RNAcentral's name for it is "partial 16S ribosomal RNA". It matches the Rfam family "Bacterial small subunit ribosomal RNA", at positions 1248 to 1500 of the family's 1533-position model. The record is from RNAcentral.
AGCGAAACAAGCGAUGUGGAGCAAANCCCUAAAAACGGUACUCAGUUCAGAUUGUAGGCUGCAACUCGCCUACAUGAAGUCGGAAUUGCUAGUAAUCGCGGAUCAGCAUGCCGCGGUGAAUACGUUCCCGGGCCUUGUACACACCGCCCGUCACACCAUGAGAGUUGGCAACACCCGAAGUCGGUAGUCUAACCGCAAGGAGGACGCCGCCGAAGGUGGGGUUGAUGAUUAGGGUUAAGUCGUAACAAGGUAGC